Molecule: transfer RNA, 85 nt
Filed under: Felis catus (domestic cat)
Lineage: Eukaryota; Metazoa; Chordata; Mammalia; Carnivora; Felidae
Rfam family: tRNA
About the family: Transfer RNA (tRNA) molecules are approximately 80 nucleotides in length. Their secondary structure includes four short double-helical elements and three loops (D, anti-codon, and T loops).
Source: Rfam by way of RNAcentral
ACCUGGGUGGCUCAGUCAGUUGAGUGCCUGACUUCAGCUCAGGUCAUGAUCUUACAGUUCAUAGGUUCAAGUCCUGUGUCUGGCU